Molecule: long non-coding RNA, 5153 nt
Filed under: Populus trichocarpa (black cottonwood)
Lineage: Eukaryota; Viridiplantae; Streptophyta; Magnoliopsida; Malpighiales; Salicaceae
Description: long non-coding RNA (PTRI_LNC003618)
Source: RNAcentral
CACACGCCGCACAUAACUUGCUAUAAAUUGAGCAUCAACAACCCCAAAGAUACAAUCAACACACUCUUGCUUGCUCUUUGUCUAAAACCAAGCCAAAGUUACUAAGGACGCAUAUAAAAUUAUGGCUCAGUUUAGCAUCCCCAAGGCAUUGGUGCUCAUGCUCGUGAUUGCUACAUUUGCUGCCGCCGUUUCUGCCCAGGAUAGCGAAAUGGCACCUGCACCUGCACCAGGAAUGGAUGCUGGAGCUGGGUUCUCUUUGCCUGUUUCUGGUGCCAUUGUUGGGUUCUCUCUUGUUGUUUCUCUUCUUGGCUUCUUGAAACAUUGAUGAAUCUGUUGUUUCUUCAAGUGGUGAGGGUUAAUUAAUUAUAUAUGUGUUUCGAGAAUGAUGGGUGAUGGAUCAUUUUUAUUUUCGAUUCAUUCUUUGUUUACGUUUGUUUACCAUAAAUAAAGAUUAAUGAAUGAAUUAUUACUUUGAUUUCUUGUAAUUCUUUUCCUACUCUAUUUCUUGAGCUGUAACAAAAAAAAUUUAGUCCUAACGAAAAUACUUAAAUGCACACUUUUUUUCCUUUUCCUCUUUUUUAUUUAUUUAUAUCAACGCAAUUAACAUUAAUGCAUACUCUGUUUCAUAGGAGUUGAGGGAUAUGUAUGGUGACUGAUGUGGCCAAUUUAGGCUUGAAUGGGGACUAAAUCAAACUUAUGGGAUUGGUUUUAUGCUCAUGACGAAGCAAGGAAAAUAUAAGAACUUAUUUACUUUAUAUCUUUAUCUUUCUAAUUAAACAUGUUUCUAACACUAAUCAAAGGAGAUCUCUUAUUUAUCUAAUUAAUUCCAUCAAGUGCUGCUAUGCUAAAACGGAGAGAAAUUUGUGCGUCAAAUAGCAAAGCAUCACCAAAACUGAUAACCCAUGGUAUUAGGUCUCCAUGUGAUUAGAAAUAGCUUUAAAUCCUUUAUUGCACCUUUUAAAGUUUUUUCAAUUAUUUUAGCUUUUAAUUAAUAUUUUAAUGUUUUUUAGAAUAGUUUUGAUGUGCUAAUAUUAAAAAUAAAAUUUAAAUAAAUAAAAAAUAUCAUUAUAAUAUAUUUUCAAUAAAAAAUACUUUUUAAAUAAUCACAACAAACAUAUUUUUAAAAAGAUAUUCAUAUAUAAUACUUUUAAAAAGAUAUCCAUAUCGUUUUAUGUUCCAGGAUUAUUUGGUUAGUAUGUUCAUUUGUGCUUCUGCCCCAUCGUAUCUGAAAAACAAGAAGUGAGUUAGAUUGAAAAACAAUGAAAAACAAGAAAAGGAAAUUAAGGGAAACUAAUUUGGAAAAGGAAAAACCCGGAUGGAAAUGAACAUGCAGUAUAAAAUCACACUAAUCUAUUAAGAUAUACAGGCACUCAGAUCCGCAAUGAGAGACCUCACAAAAGUUUUAUUAAUAUUACAAAUAGCACAAUAUUAACAUAUUAUUUGCCAUGUCCAUAGAAACAUUGACAUGCUAACUCCUCAUGAUCCCAAACUGAUUUAAUAAGAUCUGGGUUAUAACUCGAGUCAAACUAUAAUGACUCCGUUUAAACUAUAUUAUUUUUAUUUUUUUAUGUUUUAAAAAGAGUUUUUAUUGGUUUUCAUCUAUAUUUUUAACAGGGUUGUGGGUUGAUUUUUGAGAUCGACCAAGUCAUAUCUCAUCCAAUUUGACAUGAAACUUGACAAGAGUUAGGUCUUGGCUCGGUAAGUCACCAAGUUAACCUGUAAAAUCAAGUUAAAUGAGACCACCACAUACCACGCUGUGCAUAUAGUGUCAAAUUCACCUUCAUUGCAAAACACUAAGAAUUAUUGUUUGUUAGUCAACAUUGUAAAUAUAUUAGAAUAGUGAGUAAAAAUAUUUAGUUUAUUAUAACAAUAGCAUUCAAAACAUAAAAUAAAUUCAAGAAAUGAAAGCUUUGAGUUUAUACAAGUUUAAAUUAUCUAUAAGCAUGUAAAAUAAAAACUCGUGACAAACAUGUUUUCAAUAUAAAAUAAUAAUAGAAUUCUAGCAUUCAUAUUAAGUAUAUAAUCAAACUUGCAAUUAAUAUUAAUUCAAAAUUUUAGCAUGCAUACUAAUAAUAAAAAUAUUCAUAUUGAAACUAAAAUAAAAGAGGAUAUUUAUUUGUUAAAACACUUUAAAAUAAUGAAAUCUUUGUUGUUGUCAAUGAUAGUAAUUUGUCAUCAAAGAUUCAUUACUCCUCUCUUGUGCAAUUAAGAUAUGUCUUAUAUGUCUUCCAAGAUUCCAACAACACACCUCCAUCUUAGUUUAGAUGCACUUUUAAACAAGGUUUUUUUAACAAAAAUAAAAGAAUUCAAUUAUCUCUCAACAAAGUGAACUAAGCUUUAGAUUUGGGAGAAAACACGAAGCAUAAAAAGUGAAGGAAAACACUAAAAUUGAGGUGAUGAAAGGUGUGUAAAAUUUUAAAAAAACAUGUAGGAAACUCUUUAUUCCCCCUAAUUUUGAAAACUAAAAUGUUAAAGAAUUAAUUCUGGUAAUAAUUAUAAUUAAUUAUCACUAUUUUCAAGAUUUGAUUAGCCACCGUAAAUUAAAAAUUAAAUAUAAAUAUAGUGAUUAUAAAUCUGAAUUUUUAAGCUGAACAAAUUAUUCAGAUUUAUAGAAAAUGCUUUUAAAAUAGACUAUUAAUAUUCAUGGCCUGAACAAGAGAGAAUAAUAGGUUGAAGUAAAUAAUUUUUCAUAGACCAAACCCAAAUUUAAAAUUUGAUUGGUAAAAAAUAAUAUUUUACGAUCCAAAACAUUAUUUAAACCCAAACCCGAGCUGUGCAUGUAGAUUUAAGUCUAAAGUUCAUUUUACUUGGUGGAAGCUUUCCAACUUUUCAUUUUAUAAAUAAAAAGGAAGUGUUUUUUUUUUUUUUCAAUAUGUGAUAAAUUCUUUUAAAGUGAUUUGAUUUUCACCAAAGACAAGUCAAUCUAAGAUUAUUUGAGAUUAAUGUUAUAUUCACCUAUAAUUUUUCAUAUUAAAUAGCCUAUAUUAAAUAUUAAAUUUUAAUAAAAUUUUAAUUCAAAAAAUAAAUAGACUGAUUUUUUAAUUUGAUCUUAAAUACACUCCUUAAUCAUAGUUUAACAAAUUUUACAAGAAAACGCAAAUUCAUUAGAGAUUGUUAAAAUAUAUUUUCCUAUAAAAUUUCUGGACCAACACAAAAUAUGGAAUGACAACCCCCACAUGACCUGGAAGUGCACUGUGCUUUUGGAUCCUUAACCUUGCCUCAAGACAUGGGUUGGAACUUUGAACUUUGAAGUCAAGUCACCCAUGCCCUAAGUCCUGAGCCUACCGACGUGGUUCUAGCAAAGAAAGACGUUCCAUCUGCUACAACGUGUAAGACAACAAGGCGGCGCCCCCACCGCCCGGAACUUGUCAGACUACUUAUCAAACCCACAUGUCCAGUCUGUAAUCUGUAUAACUUUCACACACGUAAAAGCAGAUAUUUUAGAACUGUUUGGAUGGGUUGAAUUAUUCUUUAAUCCUGAGAUUUUGAGCCUGAUUAUAACUUAGUCCUUCAUAUAUUUCAAACCCAAUAACUUAGUCUUUUCAAUCUUCUUGACAUAUGACAUAUUAAAUUUCUUUUUCUAGUUUUGUACCUAAAUCCCAAAUGCAUAUCAUAUUAAAAUAAAUAAAAUAAAAUCAAAAUGUACCUCUCUAGGCAUUUAUAUUUUUUUAAAAAGGGUUAAUUGAUUGAAAAGACUCAAUGCUUUGAUAUUUUCUCUCACAUGUUUUUCCUAUUUUUAGACAAAAAUACCCUUUAGACCACCAAAAGAAAAAUCAACUUUCUAUACAUACAAGACUUGAAAAAAUAGAAAAUAAAAAAUUUGAAGAACCUAUAGUAAAGACUCGAAAUAUCUUAAGAAAUUUAAAAUAUUCCUAAAAAAUAUAAAAAAAAAUUAGUAACAUAUAAAAAUCUUGAAAACUCAUGUCUUUCAAACCCAUCUCGUUUCCAUAAACAUAUUUUAUUUAUGAGGUUUUAUUAACAUUGUUUUUUCAUCUCUAGAUUUUACAAGUUAUUGUUAUUAUUUCUAGGUUUUCAAUAUUUUCAAUAUUUUUUUAUUUUUGAAGUUAUAUUUUUUUAUUUUUUUAGGAAUUUCAAAAUUAAUUCCCCUCACAAUAUAUAAUUAUAGUUGUAGGUUAUUUGAGUCCGGAAAGUGUCGAAAGAGCAUAUGAGAGAGAAUAUUUAUUUAUUAGUGAAUGAUUCUUAAAAGAGCAUACGAAAGAAUAUACCGAAUAUAUAAUUUAUAAGGAUAGGUGGUUCAAUUAUUCCUGAAAAUAUACCAAGGAUUUAGUGAAAUUCGAAAAAAAAAAGAUUUAAAUAAAAUAGUCGAGAAAUGUCAAAAGACAGAGUAUGGACUUGCAAACAAAAAGACCUAAAUUAUAAUUAGGUUCAAAACUAGGGACUAAAUAAUAAUUUAAUCUUACCUUUAAUUAGGUGAACGUUGCCAGCCUAUAUUCUAAAAUUUUAUAGCCGUUGUAAAAUCACAAAUAGUAGAAGACACCCCUCUAUAAGAUCACCCUCUUCUUACAACCCUCAGAGUCUCAGACACAGCUUUUGUCUAAAACCAGAACCAAAGUUGCAUAGAAAAAUACGAAAGCAACUAAUCUCUCUUGUUUCUCUGAUUUAUUUAUUACUUUUAUUAUCAAUGGCUGCUCAGGUUAUUGUCUCCAAGACAUUCUUGCUUGUCCUUGUGAUUGCUGCCUUCGCUGUUGCUUCUGCCCAAGAUAGUGAAUCAAUGGCUCCUGCACCUGCACCAGGAAUGGAUGCUGGAGCUGCUGGGUUCUCUUCACCAGUUUCUGGAGCCAUUGUUGGGCUCUCUCUUAUUGUUUCUCUUCUUGGUUUCUUGAAACAUUGAUUAAUCUGUUGUUUCACUUGAUUUUUCAAGCUGGGAGGAGUUUUGGUUGAUUAAAUUAAUAUUUGUCGUGAGAGAGAGAGAGAGAGAGAGAGAAAGGUGAUGGAAAAUUGUUGUAUAUUGGAUUCAUUCUUUGUUAUUAAUUAUUUGUUUACUACAUACAAAAUUAAUGAAGUAAUUACUCUGAUUUUUUAUCCUUUUUUUUAUAAUAACUUUAUUUACUACAUCCAAAAUUAAUGAAAUAAAUAAAUUAUCCUCCUUUAAAUUAAAAAUUUUACUUGGCUACAGAUAAUUUGCUGAAUCA